UUCCUUUUUGCAGCCUGGCUGGUCAGUCUUCACCCCUUGCCACCGUUUUCUACUUUUUUUUUUUUAACUCCAAGUUCCUGUUUUCCCCCCACAUUGGAGCAUUUCUGUUUGCCUUGUCACCCUUUUCUCCUUUCUUGGAAGAAAUGUUGCAAUUUGGAGAACAUGCCUUGGAGCAGGAACAUAACUGAGGAACUGCCUAGAUCAGAUUUGUCUGUGGCCAGUCUGUAGGGCAUUUUCUUAAUUAUGGCUAAUUGCUAUAGGAGGCGCCAGCCCACUGUGGGCAGCGCCAUCCCUAGGCAGGUGGCCCUAGGCUGCGGAAGAAAGGCAGCUGAGGAGGGCGGAGGAAGCAAGCCAGGAAACUGCCUCCCUGCCCAGCUUCAGUGCCCGGUGAGGCUUCUUCUGCCUGAAGUUCCUGCCUUGACUUCCCUUAAUGACUGACUCUAACCUGUAAGCCAGAUAGAUCCACCCCUCCACCAAGUGGCUUUUUGUUGGAGACCGACUCCGGACAGCUAUGUCCUGGACUUUGUCAAGCCUUGACAAGAACUUCCUGACCUAACUGCAGGAGAUGUGACUAGAUAAGACCUUCCUGGCCUAAGUGCAGGAGAUGGCGAUUAGGUAAACUUUCUGGAGCCUGUCAACUGCAGGGGGCCCGGGAUCAAAGCGACCUCGCCCCUGACCCCCUCCUUAGGAAUUUUCUCUCUCCCUGCUUCCCCUGCUCCCCUCCCUACCUGAAGCCCUGCUUAUAAGCCUCAAUGCCCAGUCAAUAAACGAGACCUUGACGCGACUCAGACUGACUCUGUCUUCUCUUAUUGCGCCUGGUCUCCUUUCUCUCUCGCCCCCAUUGAUCUUUCAGGAGGUGCCGCCUCGGGUCUCCCCAAUAACCUGGCCCGCGGGACGGGCAAGUGGCGCCCGAACGUGGGGCCCGAGGCACGGUGACCUGCCGGACGACGGACAACAGAAGGGGCCCCCCCGGAGAGGAUCAGGGUAGAGACGCCCUGACUGCAUCACUCGUGCAACGUGGGAGAGUCUUGAGGUAAAUAUGUCGUCCCAUCGAUCAUGGGCAAAAAAUUUAUCUAAAGAGGCUGUUUUUCUAAAGGAGAUGAAAGGUAAUCUUAGGGAGAGAGGAAUAAGAGUUAAAAAAAAAAAAAAGGAUUUGAUAAAAUUCUUCCAAUAUGUGGAGGAGAAAUGUCCCUGGUUAGUGAUUAAUGGACCAGGAAUUCACCCUCUGACUUGGAACAAGGUUGGAAAAGAUAUUAACAAAUUACUCAGAGAUGGGGAAAAUGUCCCCGACGCCUUUUUUAGUUUUUAUGGUGUGAUUAGAGAUGUUUUACCGGUAAGAGCGCUCUCUGUCUUGUCUGUGUCUCUCUGUCUUGUUACUUUUGUUUUGUACUUUGCAGGCUUGAUUUGUACUUUGCAGGCUCUCACUGGGACAGACGUGUCCGGACAGUGAACCUGGCGGCAAAGGGAGACGUCCCAGAGCCCUAAGGCCACCUCAGAGGUGACCAUUUGGUUUAGGAGCAUCUUUGGGUAUCUUCCCCCACGGUGGGAGGAAGUGCCACUUUGUAUUUUGUCCCGGGAAUUUGUCAGAGCCAUUUUGUGGGUUUCUUGUGUGUGUUUUGUUGUGAUCAUUGUUACUUUACUCUCUCCUUCUCUUCCAAAAAAAAAAAAAAAAAAAAAAAAAAAAAAAGGUGCAUGUCUGACAGGGAUGUGGAAGCCCCUGAUGUCUGUUUGAUUAAGGACAGAGAUCCUCGAGUCUGCAUUGUUUUUGAUGUGAUUGAGCCUGGAGGGUUACCCCCCGCCAGAGCACAUCAGGCUGUCAUUGUUCUUGGAGCUUUGUUGGUUGUCUCGUUGGGGCAAAGUUUUCUUCCGUGUGCCCUUGGUCUUAUGUGUAAUAUGUUAACUGUUCUCAUUGUUGACUUGACCAUGACGGACGCUAUGGGACAGUUCCCUUCUUCUCCACUAGACCUUUGCCUAGCCCACUGGAAGGAUGUUUGAGCCACAAUAGAGGGAACUGGGUCCCCCACCCCCACUCCCCGAUUGAACUGAGAUAAACAGGUAGCUCCUGCCAGGUGUGGCUUGCAUACUGUAAGAGGGACUUGCUGGCUGUGAAUGAGGCCGUCGUCUCAGUGCUGAUGCUCCGGUUCUUGGAUUGUCUCUGUAAAUGUUAUUUGUUUCUGUCUACUAACCUCCCUUAUUUUCCUAAAGGAAGAGGAGGAAAGAGAGGCAUAACUAAGGCCACCUCCGUCCCUUCUUAGCUCUCUUGCUAUCAGGACUGCAGCCAGCAGGCCGCUCUCACGAGGGUGGGGGUGCGCGCUCUUCUUACAGGCGGGCAAAGACAGGAGCUCUGGACAGGGCAAUGGGGACUGCCUGCAAUUGACAAAAACUGUGUGAACACUGAACAGAUAAUCUGACUUUAGUCAGAGGAGUUAACAAAAACUUUUUUUCAGGAACACUGGCAGCCAAGGACACGCUCUAUGCCCACUGCUCCCCCUCCCUCCCUUUACUGUGAUAAUAACUUCAAGGUCUCUUCUGCCGGCCAGCAGCUUCUCUUGUUAACCCUUCUCUGUCCUGGUAUUGCUUAAAAAGAAAUGUUAAAUUAUCAGUUCAAGAUACUGGGAAAAUUAUGCUUUUGUUUCCACAGGAAAAAUAAAAAUUUACAUGGUGUGAAACCUCAAUAACCCCCCUUCCUCUAUCCCCUACAGACAAAGAGGAGCCUAAACCAAGAUUCCUAAGUGUAGAUAAGAAGUUAGACCCCUUUUUUCCCAGGUGGCUUUAUCAGCUACAGAAACUUAAAAACACAGAGUCCGAAUAUAUGACCAUCUGACAGAGGCUAAGUGGUCAUAAAACAUCCCAAACUUCUCGAACCCCGGAGACAGCUCGUAAAACUCCUAGACACGGUUGUUUAACAAACAAGAAAUAAAGAUAACAUACUGAUAUGAACCAGAAAGAAUGGAGGCAGGCUGUGAGAGAUGAAUUAUGUGGUCUGUGCCUUUAAGAACUAGCCUCACAAAGAAAGGGCGCGCUCCUUCCAAUCUCCCUGCUGUUCGUGAGAGAUUUGGAACGAGCCCCCUGCCGUGGCUUGUAAACUUUGACUUCAUUUGAAUGAACCUUGCUUUUUGCAUUCUGUACCUAAGUCUCUAGGUGGCUUCUUUGGGGCGAUCUGGGUAUAGCAAUGGGUUUUGGUCAUUUGAGUUCAAUGGGUUACAAAUACUUGCCAUCAUUUAAGAGAAUUGGUUUCAAAUUAUUGUUGGUUAAGAUAAAAUAUAAUGCUUUUAUAAAAAUACGAAGGCUUGAGAUAUGAGGAUAAAAGUUUAAAUAAAUGAUUUUUUUCUGGUUUGAAAAAACAGUUUAAGAUAUAAAAAUUUAAAGGCUUAAGCGUGUCAUGAGGGUUUAAAUAUAUGAUAUUUUGGGUCUAAAUAAAUAGUUUGAGAUAUAAGAAUAUAGAACUUUAAAGUUUAACUUUAAAGUUUAAAUUAUAAGAUUUAAAUAAAAUUUAUAUAGGAUAUAAGAUAUAAAGGUUUUAGAUAUAAAAAUAAAGAAAUGUUUUAAAAAAUAUGUAACAUGCAAGUUAUUAGAAUACGUAAAAGCAAGGUAUAAAGGUCUGAGGAUGAAAAGGUUUAAAUAAUGAUUUUAAAAAAAAUGACUUGAGAUAUAAAAAAAAAAAUGAUGAAACAUGUUUCAGAUUUCUUUGUCUUGCUAUUCUGCUGUUACAUUGAGACUCCAAAGGGUCAUAGUUGUAAAAAUGUCUGUCUACUCUACAGGUAUGAAUGAAAAAUGUGGCCACAUGUAUGUUUGGUUUUGAAUGUCUGAGUUUGCAUGUCCUUUAUGCUAAGGAAUACAAGUUAAUACUAGUCAUCUGGCUAUUCAGAUACUAGUUUAAAGCAUAAACUGUUCUAUUUUAAUAAAAAAAAACUGAGAGGUAUAUUUAACUAAUAUAUCUAUAGGUGAACAAAUUGACCUGGCUAUUGUUACCAAACUUAGAGAUAUUUUCAAGAUUGGGCCUAGAUUUGUUUGGCUCAGAUACAUUUAAUAGAUAAUGGUCCUCAAACUUGUCAAGAUCUGAUAAAUAUGGCAUUUACAUUAUUUGGAUAAAAAGCUUACUAUAGCAAACAGAGACUCCAAGCUCCCCAGCUCCUAGCAAUGACUCCCAAGGUCUCCAAAGAAGAUAUGGAGCAAUGACAAAAAGAUGCCACCUGAAUUGCAGACAACACCGACCACUGGGCAAGAUGCUCUGACUCAACACCUGCUGCCAGGGAUUUGGCCUAUGAGACACUGACAAGAUAAGGUUUCCACUUGGCUGACAGAUACAUCCAAGCAUCAUUUGCUGGUGACAACCUACUGCAAAUGACUGAGCCCUGAACUUGCUGAAAGCUGAUAUGGACCAAUUCAGCCGAUAUGCAUACCAUCUCUUCAGCUGGUCAAUAAAACGUUCCCUCUUGUCUUUGACUAACAUUCUGGCUUUCCAGGGCCUUGACAACAACGUCCCAAUGUCAGCAGGAAGUAAUUAUAGAAGAGAAAACAUCGCCCUUGUUUCCCGCCCCCCUGGAAUGUUAGAUCAAAAGGGAAUUUCUUGUCAUAGGGAACCUGAGAUAAAGUUCCAGGUUCCUUGAGGAUAAGGAACUCUGUCAGCCAUCACAAGGCUUUUGUCCCUUGUGCUUCUGCUAAUUACUGUUGGCUCUUAUAUCACUGAUGUCUUAACUAAAUGAUGAUUCAUGUCUGGGUACCACUAAACUGAGGAUGCUAGAAUUCCAAUAUCCACCUCUGAACCCAUGACACACUUGCAGAUGGCAAAAACUAAAUAAGGGAAAGCUCGCUUUGCCAUUGAUAAUGGGAAAACUCUUAUGUUCUGGUCCAAUUAGUCUCCGAUAUGGAAUUCUUUGAGCAGAGAGGCAGAUACACUCGAGAACCUGUGUCUAUGACUAUUGCCCUAUUGUUAGGUAUUGGGGGCAUCACUGCAGGAAUUGGUACAGGAACUACUGCCCUCGUGCAGAGUAACCACCUUAUGCAGUUACAAAUGGCUAUGACUACUGACCUAGAGGCCAUAGAAAGAUCCAUUUCUGCUCUGGAGAAAUCUUUUUAAAGGAGGGGGGAUUAUGUGCAGCCUUUAAGAAAGAAUGCUGCUUUUAUGCUGACCAUACUGGUAUUGUCAGGGAAUUGAUGGAAAAAUUAAGGAAAAGGCUAGCCCAAAGAAAAAGGGAGUUUGAAAACCAGCACGGGUGGUUUGAAAAUUGGCUGCAAGGGUCCCCCUGGCUCUCCACCUUGCUACCUACCAUUCUAGCCCCCUUAGUUGUUUUUCUCCUUCUCAUUACCUUUGGUCCCUGGGCCUUUCAGCAGUUGACUCAGUUUAUCAAAAAUUAGAUUGAUUCGGCCUCACCACGACACAUCUCGAUUCAUUAUCAGAGAGUAGAUUCCGAGGAGGCCAGCCAGGAGCCCCAUCAAGGACUCAGAUUCAGUGUCCUAAGGCCCUAACGUCCCCACGGUCUUGCUAGAGGGUACCCAAUGACGGGAAUAGUACAGGGCUCACGCCGGAGACAACAGCGUACAGAGGUCGUCGAGACCGGCUCAACAUGGCACGCUGCCGAGCGUGGGAAGCCCCCUGUGUAGCCUAAGACAGGGACUCUCUCGGACCCUAGCCACCCCGAUCACAAUGGACUUGGUCCAUUUUUGAGAAAAGGGGAGGAACUGUUGGAGACCGACUCCGGACAGCUAUGUCCUGGACUUUGUCAAGCCUUGACAAGAACUUCCUGACCUAACUGCAGGAGAUGUGACUAGAUAAGACCUUCCUGGCCUAAGUGCAGGAGAUGGCGAUUAGGUAAACUUUCUGGAGCCUGUCAACUGCAGGGGGCCCGGGAUCAAAGCGACCUCGCCCCUGACCCCCUCCUUAGGAAUUUUCUCUCUCCCUGCUUCCCCUGCUCCCCUCCCUACCUGAAGCCCUGCUUAUAAGCCUCAAUGCCCAGUCAAUAAACGAGACCUUGACGCGACUCAGACUGACUCUGUCUUCUCUUAUUGCGCCUGGUCUCCUUUCUCUCUCGCCCCCAUUGAUCUUUCAGGAGGUGCCUCCUCGGGUCUCCCCAAUAACCUGGCCCGCGGGACGGGUCAGCUUUUGGUCACAUUUACCGCAGCAGAGAGGCUGACUAGGACAGCUAGCCUACGUGACCCCAUUUUCCCCACUUCUUCUUCAUCAUUGGUCCCAUUUCCCUCAAAUGCCACCACCACCUUUUGCCCUCCAGGAACGGUACACAGGUAUCUUCUCCAGGGCUGCUGGAGGGCACCUUCCUUGGGAUGUCAUCUCAGCAAAUGUCUAGAGAGGGACAUUUGUGAAUCUGCAUGGUCUAUGUCCUAUCCUGGAUAAGAAGCUAGAGACACAUAGUCUCUAUGGGGAUGAUGUAGUUCCCCAGGUUCCAGCUCACAGUUGUUGUUGUUGUUUUAAAGAUUUAUUAUUUAUUACGUAUACAGUGUUCUGUUUGCAUGUAUCCCUGCAGGCCAGAAGAGGGAGCCAGAUCUCAUUACAGAUGGUUGUGAGCCACCAUGUGGGUGCUGGGAGUUGAACUCAUGACCUCUGGAAGAGCAGUCAGUGUUCUUAACCUCUGAGCCAUCUCUCCAGCCCAGGAGCUCACACUUUUUAAUCUAGCUUACUUUUAUAGAGACAAGCGAAGCUGACUCCCCACGGGACCUGAAUUUUCUGCGUAAGAGAACUGUUCAACAGUCUUUCCGGACACUUUACAUUAAGGCAAAAGGAAGAGCCAGACCGGAGACCGGGGGUCACAGGCAGAGGGAGGAAGCAGAAAAGGAAAUCGAUGUGACAGCAGCGCUAGCUUCAGUAGACUCCUCAGCCAGCAUGCUAGCUGUGUAUUCUUGAUACCGAACCCCUAGAACAGAGGGGAGCUGUGGACCAGUUUCUUCCACCAGGCCCCUUAGACGGUGCACCAUUGAUCUGGUGCCAGCCUUAGGGAAACACUAGGGUUGUGCGGAGAAUCCUGCAAAGAUUAGCUUUUUGUGUUCGUUGUUUAGACCUGCUAGAUGUGUUACUCUGUGACAGGACAGCUGGAUAACCAGAGGCUGAGAAGGGAGGCAAGGGUAUUUAUUCUGUGGCACUCUAUACAUUGCCCCAGCCCUGGGAUCUGAUUCUCUUUGAGUAAGUGUAGUGAUAAUAAUCACGAGUAACUGAAAUAAUAACUCCCAUGAAAACAGAAACUCUGGGACUAGAGAGACGCCUCAGCAGUUAAGAGCACUGACUGCAUUCCCAGCAUCCACAUGGUGGUUGACAACUACGUGUAACUCCAGUUCCAGGGAAGCCAAUGCCCUCUUCUGGCAUCUGUGGUAUACAGACAAACAUGAGGCAAACACCCAUACACAAAAAAUAAAAGUAAAUGAAUAAAUCUUAAAAAAAACAAAAACAAAAAACCCAAACCAAAAAACUCAAACUUUACUUGAGGCAACCCCAAGAAUGCCUUGGGAAGACCACGUGACUACCUGGGCCUGUGCAAAGAACACAUUGUUUUCAGUAAUGUCCUCCUUUCUCCUCAGGACACGUUAUCUGUCCUUUGUGAUCUUCUAACUGUGGCUAUGAGGCAAAGCCGUAAAGACAGAGUGUGAGGAAGGGGUAAUACCCCCCACCCCCACUCCCCUCACCCUACCACCCCCCCCAGCUAAGAUAGCAGAACCUCAAGCCACAGUCAUAUAAACACAGUGAGAAACACAGUACGUCAGCAGAGAAGGACAAAGCACUUGGUAAGUAAUGUGGAGACAAACUUUUAGAGAAAAAUGAAGCCAUUAGAAUCUAAAGAGAAUUGGCUUUUCUUUUCAUGAUGAUGAGAAUCAUCCCGUGAACGCUCACUAAGUGCCCAACAUCAGGACCUCUCUCUGAACGUCACACUGAAAGCUGUAAGACGGUAUACAUCCAUGUCUGAUCAUCUACAUAAUCCUUGAAAUAAAAAAAAACACUGACCAAAUUUAAAUCUUAUUUUUGUAGGAUAAGGUCUUUGAUGUUUUAAGAUCUAUUAAAAUCAGAUUAUCCCAGAUUUUGUCAAAUAUUGGCAGGAAAAUGGAGAGAAGGAGAGAGAAGAAUGUGAUGGGUAAAGAGGGGGCUGUGUCAAUCAGCUUUCUAUUACUGUGACAAAACGCCACACUGUGUAUGUUGUCAAGCCACACAAGUGCCAUCGAGCACAGGUUUGAUGCUAUCAUCAUGGUCAAGAACUACUCUCUAUGAGAGAAGAAUCUAUUUACAACAAAAAAUUGAAAAAAACUACUCUUUCUUUUUUUGGUUUUUCGAGACAGGGUUUCUCUGUGUCCUUUUGAUGCCUGUCUUG
Molecule: long non-coding RNA, 8309 nt
Organism: Peromyscus californicus insignis
Lineage: Eukaryota; Metazoa; Chordata; Mammalia; Rodentia; Cricetidae
Exons: 2
Source: RefSeq, a predicted model, not a curated record